GCACUGCCGAGGAGUUCCACAACAGGAUGAAACGGUCGUCCAGUGC
Molecule: non-coding RNA, 46 nt
Organism: Schistosoma haematobium
Lineage: Eukaryota; Metazoa; Platyhelminthes; Trematoda; Strigeidida; Schistosomatidae
Source: Rfam